This 253-nucleotide ribosomal RNA is filed under the name uncultured bacterium. RNAcentral's name for it is "partial 16S ribosomal RNA". It matches the Rfam family "Bacterial small subunit ribosomal RNA", at positions 524 to 776 of the family's 1533-position model. The record is from RNAcentral.
UACGUAGGGUGCAAGCGUUAAUCGGAAUCACUGGGCGUAAAGGGCGCGUAGGCGGGCUCUUAAGUCAGGGGUGAAAUCCUGGAGCUCAACUCCAGAACUGCCUUUGAUACUGAGGAUCUUGAGUUCGGGAGAGGUGAGUGGAACUGCGAGUGUAGAGGUGAAAUUCGUAGAUAUUCGCAAGAACACCAGUGGCGAAGGCGGCUCACUGGCCCGAUACUGACGCUGAGGCACGAAAGCGUGGGGAGCAAACAGG